UUAACAAAAACAUGUCUUUUUGAGUUAUUUUUAAAGUCUGACCUGCCCACUGAAAAUUUUUAAAUGGCCGCAGUAUUCUAACUGUGCAAAGGUAGCAUAAUCAUUAGUCUUUUAAUUGAAGGCUGGUAUGAACGGUUGGACGAAGUAUAAGCUGUUUCAUAUAAAUUUUUAAUAGAAUUUUAUAUUUUAGUCAAAAAGCUAAAAUAUUAUUAAAAGACGAGAAGACCCUAUAAAUCUUUAUAUUUUAUUUUAUUUAAAUUUUUUGGGUUGAUUUUAUUUUUUUAAAAUGAGAUAUUUUGUUGGGGUGAUAUUAAAAUUUAAUGAACUUUUAAUUAUUUUUAGUCAUUAAUUUAUGAAUUGUUGAUCCAUUAAUAGUGAUUAUAAGAUUAAGUUACUUUAGGGAUAACAGCGUAAUUUUUUUGGAGAGUUCAUAUCGAUAAAAAAGUUUGCGACCUCGAUGUUGGAUUAAGAUAUAUUUUUAGGUGUAGCCGCUUAAAUGUUAAGUCUGUUCGACUUUUAAAUUCUUACGUGAUCUGAGUUC
This 541-nucleotide ribosomal RNA is filed under the name Dacus ciliatus (lesser pumpkin fly). RNAcentral describes it as "partial 16S ribosomal RNA". It matches the Rfam family "Bacterial large subunit ribosomal RNA", at positions 1804 to 2612 of the family's 2925-position model. The record is from RNAcentral. Lineage: Eukaryota; Metazoa; Arthropoda; Insecta; Diptera; Tephritidae.